RNAcentral lists this ribosomal RNA (305 nucleotides) under uncultured bacterium. Its description in RNAcentral is "partial 16S ribosomal RNA". It matches the Rfam family "Bacterial small subunit ribosomal RNA", at positions 505 to 807 of the family's 1533-position model. The record is from RNAcentral.
ACAGCAGCAGCCGCGGGAAUACAGAGGGUGCAAGCGUUAAUCGGAAUUACUGGGCGUAAAGCGCGCGUAGGUGGUUUGUCAAGUUGGAUGUGAAAUCCCCGGGCUCAACCUGGGAACUGCAUCCAAAACUGGCAGGCUAGAGUAGGGCAGAGGGUGGUGGAAUUUCCUGUGUAGCGGUGAAAUGCGUAGAUAUAGGAAGGAACACCAGUGGCGAAGGCGACCACCUGGGCUCAUACUGACACUGAGGUGUGAAAGCGUGGGGAGCAAACAGGAUUAGAUACCCCGGUAGUCCCUGUCUCUUAUAC